RNAcentral lists this transfer RNA (71 nucleotides) under Claassenia sp. 2 YNX-2023a. Its description in RNAcentral is "tRNA-His". The record is from RNAcentral. Lineage: Eukaryota; Metazoa; Arthropoda; Insecta; Plecoptera; Perlidae.
ACUUAGGUAGUUUAAUUAAAAAUCUUGAUUUGUGGUGUCAGGGAUAUAAGAGUUAUAUCUUGUCUUAAGUC